AUUGAACGCUGGCGGCAUGCCUUACACAUGCAAGUCGAACGGUAACAGGUCUUCGGAUGCUGACGAGUGGCGAACGGGUGAGUAAUACAUCGGAACGUGCCUAGUAGUGGGGGAUAACUACUCGAAAGAGUGGCUAAUACCGCAUGAGAUCUACGGAUGAAAGCAGGGGAUCGCAAGACCUUGUGCUACUAGAGCGGCCGAUGGCAGAUUAGGUAGUUGGUGGGAUAAAAGCUUACCAAGCCGACGAUCUGUAGCUGGUCUGAGAGGACGAUCAGCCACACUGGGACUGAGACACGGGCCAGACUCCUACGGGAGGGAGCAGUGGGGAAUUUUGGACAAUGGGCGCAAGCCUUAUCCAGCAAUGCCGCGUGCAGGAUGAAGGCCUUCGGGUUGUAAACUGCUUUUGUACGGAACGAAAAGCCCUGGGUUAAUACCCCGGGGUCAUGACGGUACCGUAAGAAUAAGCACCGGCUAACUACGUGCCAGCAGCCGCGGUAA
Molecule: ribosomal RNA, 498 nt
Filed under: uncultured bacterium
Lineage: Bacteria
Description: partial 16S ribosomal RNA
Rfam family: Bacterial small subunit ribosomal RNA
Source: RNAcentral